GGAGCAACGCCGCGUGAGUGAAGAAGGUCUUCGGAUCGUAAAACUCUGUUAUUAGGGAAGAACAAAUGUGUAAGUAACUAUGCACGUCUUGACGGUACCUAAUCAGAAAGCCACGGCUAACUACGUGCCAGCAGCCGCGGUAAUACGUAGGUGGCAAGCGUUAUCCGGAAUUAUUGGGCGUAAAGCGCGCGUAGGCGGUUUUUUAAGUCUGAUGUGAAAGCCCACGGCUCAACCGUGGAGGGUCAUUGGAAACUGGAAAACUUGAGUGSAGAARARGAAAGUGGAAUUCCAUGKGUAGCGGUGAAAUGCGCARARAUAUGGAGGAACACCAGUGGCGAAGGSGACUUUCUGGUCUGUAACUGACGCUGAUGUGCGAAAGCGUGGGGAUCAAACAGGAUUARAUACCCUGGUAGUCCACGCCGUAAACGAUGARUGCUAAGUGUUAGGGGGUUUCCGCCCCUUAKUGCUGCAGCUAACGCAUUAAGCACUCCGCCUGGGGAGUACRACCGCAAGGUUGAAACUCAMARGAAUUGACGGGGACCCGCACAAGCGGUGGAGCAUGUGGUUUAAUUCKAAGCAACGCGAAGAAMCUUACCAAAUCUUGACAUCCUCUGACCCCUCUAGAGAUAGAGWUUUCCCCUUCGGGGGACAGAGWGACAGGUGGUGCAUGGKUGUCGUCAGCUCGYGUCGUGAGAUGUU
RNAcentral lists this ribosomal RNA (699 nucleotides) under Bacillus amyloliquefaciens. Its description in RNAcentral is "partial 16S ribosomal RNA". It matches the Rfam family "Bacterial small subunit ribosomal RNA", at positions 388 to 1076 of the family's 1533-position model. Lineage: Bacteria; Bacillati; Bacillota; Bacilli; Caryophanales; Bacillaceae. The record is from RNAcentral.